CGGAUGGGAGCUUGCUCCCUGAUGUCAGCGGCGGACGGGUGAGUAACACGUGGGCAACCUGCCUGUAAGACUGGGAUAACUUCGGGAAACCGGAGCUAAUACCGGAUAAUUCUUUCCCUCACAUGAGGGAAAGCUGAAAGAUGGUUUCGGCUAUCACUUACAGAUGGGCCCGCGGCGCAUUAGCUAGUUGGUGAGGUAACGGCUCACCAAGGCAACGAUGCGUAGCCGACCUGAGAGGGUGAUCGGCCACACUGGGACUGAGACACGGCCCAGACUCCUACGGGAGGCAGCAGUAGGGAAUCUUCCGCAAUGGACGAAAGUCUGACGGAGCAACGCCGCGUGAGUGAUGAAGGUUUUCGGAUCGUAAAACUCUGUUGUUAGGGAAGAACAAGUACCGGAGUAACUGCCGGUACCUUGACGGUACCUAACCAGAAAGCCACGGCUAACUACGUGCCAGCAGCCGCGGUAAUACGUAGGUGGCAAGCGUUGUCCGGAAUUAUUGGGCGUAAAGCGCGCGCAGGCGGUUCCUUAAGUCUGAUGUGAAAGCCCACGGCUCAACCGUGGAGGGUCAUUGGAAACUGGGGAACUUGAGUGCAGAAGAGAAGAGUGGAAUUCCACGUGGUAGCGGUGAAAUGCGUAGAGAAUGUGGAGGAACACCAGUGGCGAAGGCGACUCUUUGGUCUGUAACUGACGCUGAGGCGCGAAAGCGUGGGGAGCAAACAGGAUUAGAUACCCCUGGUAGUCCACGCCGUAAACGAUGAGUGCUAAGUGGUUAGAGGGUUUCC
Molecule: ribosomal RNA, 785 nt
Filed under: bacterium
Lineage: Bacteria
Description: bacterial SSU rRNA
Rfam family: Bacterial small subunit ribosomal RNA
Source: RNAcentral